This 252-nucleotide ribosomal RNA is filed under the name uncultured bacterium. Its description in RNAcentral is "partial 16S ribosomal RNA". It matches the Rfam family "Bacterial small subunit ribosomal RNA", at positions 524 to 776 of the family's 1533-position model. The record is from RNAcentral.
UACGGGGGGGCUAGCGUUGUUCGGAAUUACUGGGCGUAAAGCGCACGUAGGCGGCUUUGUAAGUUAGAGGUGAAAGCCCGGGGCUCAACUCCGGAAUUGCCUUUAAGACUGCAUCGCUAGAAUUGUGGAGAGGUGAGUGGAAUUCCGAGUGUAGAGGUGAAAUUCGUAGAUAUUCGGAAGAACACCAGUGGCGAAGGCGACUCACUGGACACAUAUUGACGCUGAGGUGCGAAAGCGUGGGGAGCAAACAGG